RNAcentral lists this transfer RNA (73 nucleotides) under Synechococcus phage S-WAM2. It matches the Rfam family "tRNA". Rfam says of the family: Transfer RNA (tRNA) molecules are approximately 80 nucleotides in length. Their secondary structure includes four short double-helical elements and three loops (D, anti-codon, and T loops). Further hydrogen bonds mediate the characteristic L-shaped molecular structure. tRNAs have two regions of fundamental functional importance: the anti-codon, which is responsible for specific mRNA codon recognition, and the 3' end, to which the tRNAs corresponding amino acid is attached (by aminoacyl-tRNA synthetases). tRNAs cope with the degeneracy of the genetic code in two manners: having more than one tRNA (with a specific anti-codon) for a particular amino acid; and 'wobble' base-pairing, i.e. permitting non-standard base-pairing at the 3rd anti-codon position. The record is from Rfam by way of RNAcentral. Lineage: Duplodnaviria; Heunggongvirae; Uroviricota; Caudoviricetes; Pantevenvirales; Kyanoviridae.
UGGGGUGUAGCUCAGCGGUAGUAGCGGGAAGCUGUUAACUUCUAGGUCGCAGGUUCGAUCCCUGCCGCCCCAG